UGGGGAAUUUUGGACAAUGGGCGAAAGCCUGAUCCAGCAAUGCCGCGUGUGUGAAGAAGGCCUUCGGGUUGUAAAGCACUUUUGUCCGGAAAGAAAUCCUUGGCUCUAAUACAGUCGGGGGGAUGACGGUACCGGAAGAAUAAGCACCGGCUAACUACGUGCCAGCAGCCGCGGUAAUACGUAGGGUGCAAGCGUUAAUCGGAAUUACUGGGCGUAAAGCGUGCGCAGGCGGUUUGCUAAGACCGAUGUGAAAUCCCCGGGCUCAACCUGGGAACUGCAUUGGUGACUGGCAGGCUAGAGUAUGGCAGAGGGGGGUAGAAUUCCACGUGUAGCAGUGAAAUGCGUAGAGAUGUGGAGGAAUACCGAUGGCGAAGGCAGCCCCCUGGGCCAAUACUGACGCUCAUGCACGAAAGCGUGGGGAGCAAACAGGAUUAGAUACCCUGGUAGUCCACGCCCUAAACGAUGUCAACUAGUUGUUGGGGAUUCAUUUCCUUAGUAACGUAGCUAACGCGUGAAGUUGACCGCCUGGGGAGUACGGUCGCAAGAUUAAAACUCAAAGGAA
This 562-nucleotide ribosomal RNA is filed under the name uncultured bacterium. RNAcentral describes it as "partial 16S ribosomal RNA". It matches the Rfam family "Bacterial small subunit ribosomal RNA", at positions 355 to 909 of the family's 1533-position model. The record is from RNAcentral.